This 761-nucleotide ribosomal RNA is filed under the name Acinetobacter calcoaceticus. Its description in RNAcentral is "bacterial SSU rRNA". It matches the Rfam family "Bacterial small subunit ribosomal RNA", at positions 557 to 1318 of the family's 1533-position model. Lineage: Bacteria; Pseudomonadati; Pseudomonadota; Gammaproteobacteria; Moraxellales; Moraxellaceae. The record is from RNAcentral.
GGCGUAAGCGCGCGUAGGCGGCUAAUUAAGUCAAAUGUGAAAUCCCCGAGCUUAACUUGGGAAUUGCAUUCGAUACUGGUUAGCUAGAGUGUGGGAGAGGAUGGUAGAAUUCCAGGUGUAGCGGUGAAAUGCGUAGAGAUCUGGAGGAAUACCGAUGGCGAAGGCAGCCAUCUGGCCUAACACUGACGCUGAGGUGCGAAAGCAUGGGGAGCAAACAGGAUUAGAUACCCUGGUAGUCCAUGCCGUAAACGAUGUCUACUAGCCGUUGGGGCCUUUGAGGCUUUAGUGGCGCAGCUAACGCGAUAAGUAGACCGCCUGGGGAGUACGGUCGCAAGACUAAAACUCAAAUGAAUUGACGGGGGCCCGCACAAGCGGUGGAGCAUGUGGUUUAAUUCGAUGCAACGCGAAGAACCUUACCUGGCCUUGACAUACUAAGAACUUUCCAGAGAUGGAUUGGUGCCUUCGGGAACUUACAUACAGGUGCUGCAUGGCUGUCGUCAGCUCGUGUCGUGAGAUGUUGGGUUAAGUCCCGCAACGAGCGCAACCCUUUUCCUUAUUUGCCAGCGAGUAAUGUCGGGAACUUUAAGGAUACUGCCAGUGACAAACUGGAGGAAGGCGGAUACGACGUCAAGUCAUCGUGGCCCUUACGGCCAGGGCUACACACGUGCUACUAUGGUCGGUACAAAAGGUUGCUACCUAGCGAUAGGAUGCUAAUCUCAAAAAGCCGAUCGUAUUCCGGAUUGGAGUCUGCAACUCCACUC